UGGCAACUAUGAUGACUCCUCUUGACUCUGCAGUGCACAUGGUUGCAACCUGAAGACAGCAGUCCCUCUAAACUGAUGUUGCCU
This is a small nucleolar RNA of Rhineura floridana, 84 nucleotides long. RefSeq annotates it as small nucleolar RNA SNORD127. The transcript has a single exon. The record is from RefSeq and is a predicted model, not a curated record. Lineage: Eukaryota; Metazoa; Chordata; Lepidosauria; Squamata; Rhineuridae.